This 75-nucleotide microRNA precursor is filed under the name Guillardia theta CCMP2712. RNAcentral describes it as "microRNA mir-598". The record is from RNAcentral. Lineage: Eukaryota; Cryptophyceae; Pyrenomonadales; Geminigeraceae.
ACAUGAUGAUGAUGAUGAUGAUGAUGAUGAUGAUGAUGAUGAUCAUUAUAGUCACCAUCAUCGUAACCUUACCUU